This 958-nucleotide long non-coding RNA is filed under the name Malus domestica (apple). RNAcentral describes it as "long non-coding RNA (MDOM_LNC009493)". The record is from RNAcentral. Lineage: Eukaryota; Viridiplantae; Streptophyta; Magnoliopsida; Rosales; Rosaceae.
ACACGUGUCAAUGUCAGAAUGAAACUAGAAACUCUCUUCUAUAAAUAGAGAUCAUUCUCUCACAAUAUUUCAUAAUGUCAUUUGUACUAAAUCAUUCACUAGUACUCACAAAAGGAGAGCUUGAACCUAUGUACUUGUGUAAACCUUUCACAAUUAAUGAGAACUCUACUCCGUGGACGUAGCCAAUCUGGGUGAACCACAUACAUCUUGUGUUUGCUACUCUGUCUUUAUCUAUUUACAUACUUGUCCACACUAGUGACCGGAGCAAUCUAGCGAAGGUCACAAACUUAACACUUUCUGUUGUACCGAAGUCCUCACUGAUUUUGUGCAUCAACAGCGCGUAAAGUAAUAUACUAGGUAAUUUACGUUUCGUGUAUAGAUAAAAAUUCCUCAUCAUGUGCAAGAUCUUUUUCUCUAUAAUAGCUAAAUAUAGAUAGUUGUUGUAAACUUUCCUAGUUUAAGUGUGAUUGUGUAAUCCUAGAUUAGAUUUGAUUCUAAUUAUCCUUUCCUAUUACAACUUGUAUUCCUUGAGGAUGAAGGAAUUUUUUCUCUCCUUUUUACUACUAUAAAUAAAGGUACUCAUUCCCUUACAAUUCUACAAACAUAUCUCUCUCAAUCUCUCUACCCUUGCCGCCGACCCCUCUUAACCUUGUUAGAUAAAAUAGGGUACAACACGUUAUCAGCACACUCCUACCGCUGCGCUUAGGAAUUUGACGAGGAGAUUUUUUGCAUCAAACCAGUUCAUCCAUAUCAUCACGCAAUCAUGUUCUUUCAAAACAACGGUUUUUAUCUUGAUAUUUUUGUAGCCCUGAUAUCAUGAACAUUCACCAUAAUGCAUGACUCAACUUUACGUUUUUUGAAUUGUAGAUUGUACAUAAAUUGUGUAUGCAUUAUAUUCAUAAUUGUUGAAUUAUGUGAAUUUGAUAUUUUCCAUGAAUUGCAUCAAAUAUAUGUACAU